AGGAACAUGCUGUUUGCUUCACUAUAUCCCGCCCGACUUCAUUUCCUUAAAACCCUAAUCUUCAAAUUUUCCUCUUCUUCUACGCUUUCUGCUCUCGAUCUUCCCAGGAACAAUGAGUCGGUCGAGUAGGACACUUUAUGUUGGCAAUCUUCCUGGUGAUGUUCGUGAGCGUGAAGUGGAAGAUCUCUUUUACAAGUAUGGACCGAUUGCACAUAUUGAGCUGAAAAUUCCACCAAGACCCCCUGGUUAUGCUUUUGUUGAGUUUGAAGAGGCUCGUGAUGCUGAAGAUGCUAUUCGUGGUCGUGAUGGCUAUGAUUUUGAUGGGCACCGUCUGCGGGUUGAGCUUGCACAUGGUGGGCGUGGUAACUCAUCAUCAAAUGAUCGUUAUGGUGGUGGCGGUGGCGGCCGUGGUCAGCGUGGUGGAGGAGUGUCAAGACGUUCCGAUUAUCGAGUGUUAGUUACAGGAUUACCCCAUUCAGCAUCGUGGCAGGAUCUCAAGGAUCACAUGCGCCGUGCUGGGGAUGUUUGUUUCUCCCAAGUUUUCCGUGACGGGAGUGGAACCACUGGUAUAAUUGAUUAUACAAACUAUGAUGACAUGAAAUAUGCUAUCAAAAAGCUUGAUGACUCUGAGUUUCGGAAUGCCUUUUCUCGUGCGACAAUUCGAGUUAAGGAAUAUGACCGCAGUCGAAGUCGCAGCCGCAGUCGCAGUCGCAGCCGCUCCUACUCCAGAGGGAAGAGUGUUAGUCGAAGCCGUAGCCGUAGCCGAAGUAGAAGUCGAAGCAAGAGCAAAAGCAAAUCUCCUAAAGUUAAGUCUUCAAAGCGCUCAAGAUCUCGUUCAAGGUCUGUGUCUUCUCAGUCUCGUUCUGGGUCAAAAGGACGUCCUGUCUCAAGAUUUUGGAUAUGUGCGGCGGUUUGUGGAUUUGGAUAUUAGGAUCUUGAGUGGAUAAUGGUCUUGCCUGCAACUCUUUUUGUUGUGGAGAUUGGGAUCAUGAAGAUCAUGGAUUCUAUGGUGGAGCUGGACUGGGGAACCAACUGCCACCUGAAUUUGGAUCACCACCUAUUUUUUGGUAGAAGCAUGUUCUAACAAAGCGAAAUAAAGACUAGUUCAUUCUUUUGGUAUCCUGCUAAUUGGUCUCUUUGACUGCUCGAAUUUAAAAUAUUACAUAGUCUCAAUGGUGUAACGUGCAUUGUUUUAUACUUGCCAUAUUUUCCACUCUGGAUUCUGCCAAAUUGCUACUUUCAUUAUGGUCAUGCUGAGGUGGAAGUGAAAUCAAAGCAGUUGUGGAGGAAACUUGUUAAGUGGCGGGACUGGGAUAUUAAAUUAAGUUCUUUCUGGAAAUUUUGCAGAUCUCCAUCAAGGUCCAGAUCACCAGCACCAGCUCGUUCAAAACAAUUAAGUGAAAGUCCCAAAAGACGCACUCCCAGCAGUAGCCCCAAAAGACGCACUCCAAGCAGAAGCCCAAGCCGGAGUAGGAGCCGUAGCCGAAGUUUGUCCAGGUAAGAUUGCUGGAAUCAUCAGUGAUUGAGGGUGCCAUCAUGCUGUGUUUGAGCAGCCUGGUCCACAGUUGGGAGUCUAAGUGCCCGGAAGAGUCUGUUGCUCUGCUUACAUCAAAAUAUUUCUGUGUCAUUGAACCAUGUCAAGACUGUAAUAAUUAUUAUGCUUAUUUUUGUAGCUCUUAAUCUUGGUAAAAGACUGCAAUAUAGUAGAUGAUAUUGUGAAAAAACGGAAUUUAAUUUCCUUGAAUUGCAGAUUAUUGUUGGUCGACUGA
This is an RNA transcript of Solanum pennellii, 1769 nucleotides long. It is a transcript of the gene named serine/arginine-rich-splicing factor SR34-like, with no coding region annotated. Lineage: Eukaryota; Viridiplantae; Streptophyta; Magnoliopsida; Solanales; Solanaceae. The record is from RefSeq and is a predicted model, not a curated record. The transcript is spliced from 15 exons.